AUAGCGGAGGAAAAGAAACUAACAAGGAUUCCCCUAGUAACGGCGAGUGAAGCGGGAAGAGCUCAAAUUUGAAAUCUGGUAGCCUUCGGUUGCCCGAGUUGUAAUCUAGAGAAGUGUUUUCCGUGCCGGCCCAUGUACAAGUCCCUUGGAACAGGGCGUCAUAGAGGGUGAGAAUCCCGUCCUUGACAUGGACCCCCGGUGCUUUGUGAUACACUUUCAACGAGUCGAGUUGUUUGGGAAUGCAGCUCAAAAUGGGUGGUGAAUUCCAUCUAAAGCUAAAUAUUGGCGAGAGACCGAUAGCGAACAAGUACCGUGAGGGAAAGAUGAAAAGCACUUUGGAAAGAGAGUUAAACAGUACGUGAAAUUGUUGAAAGGGAAACGAUUGAAGUCAGUCAUGCUCUUGGGACUUACCUCCCUUGAGUGGGGUCAACAUCAGUUUUGAUCGAUGGAUAAAGGCACGGGGAAGGUAGCACUCUCGGGUGAACUUAUAGCCUCGCGUCAUAUACAUUGAUUGGGACUGAGGAACGCAGCAUGCCUUAUGGCCGGGAUUCGUCCACGUACAUGCUAGGUAG
Molecule: ribosomal RNA, 572 nt
Filed under: Naganishia albida
Lineage: Eukaryota; Fungi; Basidiomycota; Tremellomycetes; Filobasidiales; Filobasidiaceae
Description: LSU rRNA
Rfam family: Eukaryotic large subunit ribosomal RNA
Source: RNAcentral